UGGUGCAAAAGUAAUUGCGGUUUUUGCCUUUGAAAGUAAUGGGAAAAACCGCAAUUACUU
This is a microRNA precursor of Pan paniscus (pygmy chimpanzee), 60 nucleotides long. Lineage: Eukaryota; Metazoa; Chordata; Mammalia; Primates; Hominidae. The record is from Ensembl.